This is a long non-coding RNA of Notolabrus celidotus (New Zealand spotty), 495 nucleotides long. RefSeq lists it as uncharacterized. The transcript is spliced from 2 exons. The record is from RefSeq and is a predicted model, not a curated record. Lineage: Eukaryota; Metazoa; Chordata; Actinopteri; Labriformes; Labridae.
UUUAUGCAGAAUUUUGAGAAAUAAUAAACAUAUCUAAUAUGCAGCAGAUUAUUUUAAAUGCAAUGGACUUUUCUAGAUGUCUGUUUUUUCUCAUCAAACUCAGCCACGCCACUCGUCAUUUUGAAUUCCCUCGCUUUUUUCACAUUUGCCUGACCCGGGACAAAUGGAGAUGCUGUUGGACUCUAUACAAAUGUUUCAGCCCUCACACAGCUGGAUACGCGCCUCUCCAAUAAGAGCAGCAGGAUUAACUUUGAGGUGUUGGGUUGCAAACCAAUCAGGAGGCAGGAUUAGAUGCUCAGGUUCAGUUACUUGAGUACCUGUUCCGCUCAGCUUUCUGUGACAGAGGUCAACCUGUGGUCAAAUGGUGACCACACACCAAACGCACUGAAAGGCAAGACUACGUCCAUCUGCGGACACGCUUCCUUUCUUUGGACCAGCUUUUGUUUGAUAGUUGGACCAAUUUCACCUCUCAAAAAUUAAACAGAUUUAUUUGGA